Molecule: ribosomal RNA, 478 nt
Filed under: uncultured bacterium
Lineage: Bacteria
Description: partial 16S ribosomal RNA
Rfam family: Bacterial small subunit ribosomal RNA
Source: RNAcentral
GAUGAACGCUGGCGGCGUGCCUAACACAUGCAAGUCGAACGGAGUCCAGCCUUUAAGACCUUCGGGUCAAAGAGGGGAAGACUGAGUGGCGGACGGGUGAGUAACACGUGGGCAACCUGGCUCAUAGAGGGGGAUAACAGAGAGAAAUUUCUGCUAAUACCGCAUAAGCACACACUGCCGCAUGGCAGAGGGUGAAAAGAGAAUCGCUAUGAGAUGGACCCGCGUCUGAUUAGCCAGUUGGCAGGGUAAGGGCCUACCAAAGCGACGAUCAGUAGCCGAUCUGAGAGGAUGAACGGCCACAUUGGGACUGAGACACGGCCCAAACUCCUACGGGAGGCAGCAGUGGGGGAUAUUGCACAAUGGGGGGAACCCUGAUGCAGCGACGCCGCGUGAGUGAAGAAGUAUUUCGGUAUGUAAAGCUCUAUCAGCAGGGAAGAUAAUGACAGUACCUGAAUAAGAAGCCCCGGCUAACUACGUG